AGGUUGCCACUGUAAACACUGCACUGAUCGAAAUGAUUUUGCGGUGUGGAUAUUUGACUGUCACCCGGAGCUAGGGAUGGUGAAAACACUAGAUUGCCUAGAAAUUUGGAUAAGUAAGAACCGUAAAUAGGAUGGGGGAUUCAAACCAUUGGUUACAAACAUAGGUUGUUUACAAAUUGGAAAUUAGUACUAAUCGUUAACUGAUCACCCCAUCAUUGGUGCCUCCUCUUCCUUCCUCCUCCCACUUCUCCACAGAUUCCCACCCCAGCAGUCCUGCAAAAUCUAUCCAGGCCUCACGGGAUCUUGUCCGCCCCCAUCCAACUAGGUUGUUUUAACCAGGAAAGAUGGAGAGGAGGAGUCGAGGCCAUCGGCGCUGGACCUCCUGGCGGCAUCACUGUCGGGCCAGAGGCCUCCGUCCGAGCUGGAGGAGAACACUGUCGCGGAGGGGAAAACCCUAGCUCGGUAGGUGGCUGUGAGGAUUGAGGUCGACGAUGCUGGCCGCCGCAGGUCAUCAGCUCCUCCUUUUCUCUUUCACACUGCCCCACCACCAUCCCCCUCUCCUUCCUUCUUGCUCGUCUUCAAGCCUGAGUACGAAGGCUCGCCAUGGACAAUCAAGACCGCGGAGUGGCGCAGAGAUAAGUGACACGAUGAAUCUGAUGUUACAUACGUGUGGGAGAAAACGAUGUGAUCCCUAAUCUUAUUCCCUUGUUUCGCAUUUGAUGUCCUACGGCUCUACUCCUUGCCUAGGCAAAUGCUUUGUGAGGAUGCUUAAUUGGUCUGACAACCUUAUCUUGCAGAAGGUAUAGCUAGAGGAACACCUAGCGGCAAGUACUUGAGGUUGUGUGUCUCCUAGGUUGCCUGAUUCGCUAUGCGUUUUGAGCGUAGUUGAUCAAACUGAGAGCUCUAAGUAAAGCAGACCUUACAAUGGAGAAGAUAUGUAGGCUAAAUUGCUGGCACGAUAUUGGGCAUAGCUGGUGCAGCAUAGGUUAAUUAUCUUCUAUUCAAACCAUAUUUACUUGCAUCGAGGAUGGAUGCACUUUUUCCCACUUUUUUUUAACAGGCUUGUUUUUUCAGUAUGAAAUCCCUUUGAGCUGAGGCAUUUAAAAAGUAGACAUUGUUGCAAUGUUAUGUGAUGGUGAUCUCUGGUCCUUCUACAACCUUGAGAAAGGCUGAGUAAUGAGACAUGAGAAAUUUAUAACCUCUUUAUUCUUCUCAGGCAUGCUUCGCUAAAUUUGUUCAUGUAUUUUCUGUUUGCAACCUGAAUGCUAGAAUUUGGAAAAUUAACAUGGGUAUUGGAAAAUGGAUCUUUUCUGUACACUUUUGUUCCAAACAGUGUAGAUAUAGAGUUAUAGUUAUUUAUUUUAGAUGCUAUAUAUGAAUAUUUUCAUUUCAUCUAUAUAGAAACAUACUCUUUUAAAUGUUGUCCUCUAUACUUUCUGUCUAGCCUUUUCGUGUAUUUGAUUGAAUUAUUAUCACCUAUAUUUGUUUAUUUUUGUGAUGGUUGAAUGACAGAAGGUUUGUCGUUAUGUUGAUGAAAGUUACAUUAAACAUGAUGGACAUUAACCACAUGGCAUUGCAUAUUUGCAUGUGUGAUGAACUUUCCCUCUCAAUCAGUGGGACAAGACCAGACAGUUUUUCGGCGAGAUCGACGAUGAAAUUCAGAUUCAUUACGACAACGGUGCAAGGAAGUUCUAGAUACACGUCAUAGGUGCCCUUGGCUGCCUGUGAGUGUUGGUGAUGUGUGAGGAGGGUGAGCUGCACACAUAAGGCUGCCUUGCGAAUCACAACUAGGUGACGCAAGCCUAAAAAAGAAGCUGAGUGACCUCUGUGACGAGGUGUGGUUGCGCCGGAAGGAUGCUCUCAAGUAUGGCUUCGUUGCUAACCACACCAAAUACAUAAGGCUGCCUUGCGAACCAUAACUGGGUGACGAAUGCCUUAAAAAGAAGCCAAAGCGACCUCGGCGACGAGGUUCAGUUGCACUGGAAGGAUGCCAUCAAGUAUGGCUUCGUUGCCAACCACCCAAAUAUGGGUAAGAAACUAACAGUGAAGAGAUUGUCGAUGAGCUCAACACAAUGAGUGGAGGAGCUGUAGACUGAGCCUUGGUUGCCAAGCUUAAGUACAAGAACGUCAUCAAGCUUCUUGUGUCUGCUUGAAGCAGCAGGAGCGGCUGCUCGUCUAUGAGCAGCUACAUUGGGGAAAGAGCUAGGUAUCAAGUCCUUGUAGUUCCACACUUUUGCUUGAAAGCCAAGACCAGCAGUGUUCUUUUCACAAGUACUUGUUAUCUCACCAGGGUGUCCACUUUCUAUUGCAAAUUUUGAUAUGGUUGGUGACGUGGAACACUGGCGUUCUCGGCCUGGUGACGCUGUCAGGCUUGAAGUGCACUUGGCCGGUGAGGAGGCGCCCCAGCCUCUAUAUAUGUUGCUCUACAUGUUGUUAGUCCUAUUAGACAUUCAUGUACAUGCUCGAACCUACUGCGAAGAUGGUCGAUUAUCUGUUUCAGUAGGAUGGUCGACUAGGAUGUUGACGACCACGACAUGUUGCUAUUUCAUAUUUUUUGUCCUGUUAUAUAUCUUUAGAUGUGGUUGUGCUUUAUAGGUGUCAGCUUUUGUAAAUAAUGAACUAUAAUUUACUGAAUUCAAAAGAAUCUUUCUACCAUAAGAGACAA
Molecule: long non-coding RNA, 2665 nt
Organism: Lolium rigidum
Lineage: Eukaryota; Viridiplantae; Streptophyta; Magnoliopsida; Poales; Poaceae
Exons: 7
Source: RefSeq, a predicted model, not a curated record